Non-coding RNA from Argiope bruennichi, 81 nucleotides. Lineage: Eukaryota; Metazoa; Arthropoda; Arachnida; Araneae; Araneidae. The record is from the annotation of a RefSeq genome assembly.
GCCAUCAUAGCUCAGAGGUUAGAGCACUGGUCUUGUAAACCAGGGGUCGUGAGUUCAAUUCUCACUGUUGUUUUGAUGACA